AUUGAACGCUGGCGGCAUGCCUUACACAUGCAAGUCGAACGGCAGCGCGGACUUCGGUCUGGCGGCGAGUGGCGAACGGGUGAGUAAUACAUCGGAACGUACCCUGUUGUGGGGGAUAACUAGUCGAAAGAUUAGCUAAUACCGCAUACGACCUGAGGGUGAAAGUGGGGGACCGCAAGGCCUCACGCAGCAGGAGCGGCCGAUGUCUGAUUAGCUAGUUGGUGGGGUAAAGGCCCACCAAGGCGACGAUCAGUAGCUGGUCUGAGAGGACGGGCAGCCACACUGGGACUGAGACACGGCCCAGACUCCUACGGGAGGCAGCAGUGGGGAAUUUUGGACAAUGGGGGCAACCCUGAUCCAGCAAUGCCGCGUGUGUGAAGAAGGCCUUCGGGUUGUAAAGCACUUUUGUCCGGAAAGAAAUCGCGCUGGUUAAUACCUGGCGUGGAUGACGGUACCGGAAGAAUAAGCACCGGCUAACUACGUGCCAGCAGCCGCCGUAA
Molecule: ribosomal RNA, 500 nt
Filed under: uncultured bacterium
Lineage: Bacteria
Description: partial 16S ribosomal RNA
Rfam family: Bacterial small subunit ribosomal RNA
Source: RNAcentral